This 444-nucleotide ribosomal RNA is filed under the name uncultured bacterium. RNAcentral's name for it is "partial 16S ribosomal RNA". It matches the Rfam family "Bacterial small subunit ribosomal RNA", at positions 355 to 791 of the family's 1533-position model. The record is from RNAcentral.
UGGGGAAUAUUGCACAAUGGGCGCAAGCCUGAUGCAGCCAUGCCGCGUGUGUGAAGAAGGCCUUCGGGUUGUAAAGCACUUUCAGCGAGGAGGAAGGUGGUGAACUUAAUACGUUCAUCAAUUGACGUUACUCGCAGAAGAAGCACCGGCUAACUCCGUGCCAGCAGCCGCGGUAAUACGGAGGGUGCAAGCGUUAAUCGGAAUUACUGGGCGUAAAGCGCACGCAGGCGGUUUGUUAAGUCAGAUGUGAAAUCCCCGGGCUCAACCUGGGAACUGCAUUUGAAACUGGCAAGCUAGAGUCUCGUAGAGGGGGGUAGAAUUCCAGGUGUAGCGGUGAAAUGCGUAGAGAUCUGGAGGAAUACCGGUGGCGAAGGCGGCCCCCUGGANGAAGACUGACGCUCAGGUGCGAAAAGCGUGGGGAGCAAACAGAUUAGAUACCCUGGU